CAGAAACCCUCAUAGUAAUGGUUUUAAUGGUUUUAAUGGGAAUUGUAUUGGUUUAAAUAGAAACUCUAAUGGUCUCUGUGGCUCUCUACUGGCAGCGUGCAUCACGGGACACAUUCUCUUUGGCAUCCUGUAGGAGGUAUGAAGUAAAAGUUUUCACCCAAAAGUUUCCUUUUAACAUUGAGCAAAGUUUGCUCUGUUUUGGGGUAUCUGGGUCACAUGACCUGGUUCGAGUUACCUGAGAUCAUUUCCUGACCAGAAUCCAUCAUGGCCGCCGAAGGUGCAGGAGAUUCCGAGCAUGUGAUUUUGGAACAUUUUGUGUCUCAGAAUACGAGCAUGACUUCAUUUUGGCACGUGAGGUUUCCUGAGAUGUCUGCGUUGUAUCGCAGGAAACAGAUGAUGUGCUCUCAUUGUGAUGGAGAUGGCAAUAAGGCCGAGUCGACGCUCACAUACUGAUGUGUUUAUCUGAAAAGGAAAAGAGGUGAAGAGGACACGGCUAUGCGAGAGAGCCUUCUGGAUUGUCUGGCAGAAGUUAUAGUGAAUGUAACUCGCAGCUCCAGGUGUACAGAGUGACAGACUGAAUGGACAAUGUUCAGGUUCUCAGUCGUAGAGGCAGCGAGAAGCUGUGGCUAGAAGGCAGUCGCUGCCUGUCAUGGCAGUAACCCCAGGAUGCGUGGACCAGGGCUCAGGGAAGCUGUAAAGUUGAAGAAGGAGGACCUCCAGGGUCACAGAAAGCUCCACUGGUUCGGAGGAGAGCCAGAAGUGCAAGCUCAGGCCUGGGAGGAGUUUGGAAAGGCGGUGAAAAAAACUUUUUGGCCUAAAAAGAAGCAGACAAGCAGACAUGCUCUACUGGGGAUGAAAAGAGCACUCUGAGAAUCUCCUUAAUCCAGUGGAUUUGGUCUCCAUUUAGGAGGCAGCGCCAGACAUCUCUAGUGUUUUGAUUCUCAAGAAGGCAACAUGAUACAUUAAGAGCCAGGAUGAUCGGUGUAAAUUGUUAUUAUUUUCUCUUCUGGGAAACAUGUAAAUAUCUUCUGUAGCAUCUGAAGAGCAGUAGUAAAUGAAAAAAAUAAGAUCUUUAAACAAAAUAUUAAUUUUCACCGAUCAUCCUGUUUAUAAGUUUACACCCCCCCCUCGGCUCUUAAUGAGAUAUUUCACCCAAAAAUUUUAAUUUUAUCAUCAGUCAUCACUCUCUCCCCCUCAUGUCGUUCCAAACCCGUAAGACUUUCAUUCAUCUUCAGAACACAAAUGAAGAUAUUUUUAAUGAAACCUGAGAGAUUUCUGUCCCUCCACUGAUAGUCAACGUAACCAAAACUUUCAAGCUCCAAAAAGUUCAUAAAAGCUCCGUAAAAAAAGUAAUCAUAGUAAUAUGAUCAUGUGACUCGACAUUUGUUCAACUUCGCUGUGCUAAUAUAAUAAUAUGUAUUAAAUGUGGUGUAAAUUCCCUUUAACUCACCACUUCCCAUCAUGUUCUACUCCCUUAAUCACAUAAACUUUAGUUUGAAUAAAAAACUCUAAAUUUAUCUUCAGAUAAAGAGCGCUUUCCCUGAGACACAUGACAGGAAAUAGAGCGAACCAUCAGCAUUUCCUGUUUAAUUCUCUUCACUUUGCCUGAAAUCCUGAAGCCGUAGGCUUUAUAAAUAUCCCAUUGUGUGAUGAAAGGAAGAGCCAUGUGAUGAAUAGCCGGGUGUGGGAUGCAAACAAGACGUUUCUUUCCAAACGCUGCGUAUUUUGCAUUAUUUAUGAAGUAUAAAUUACGGGACUGUCCAUUAAAUUACAAUGAAAAUUAAAGAAUGAAAGGAAGUGCUAAUGAAAGUCGCUUUGUUUUAUAUAGAUAUUGUUUUAAUGACUAUUUUCCGUAGCUGGAAAACAUCAGGUGAGGAUGUGCGGUCACGGGGUGAUUUUUUAAAUUAUUAUUAUUAUUAUUAUUAUUACAUAUUAGCUAGAAAAAAAAGCCUGCCAGUCAGUAAAAAAAGUUCAGCACAAGUACUAAACACAGUUUUCCAAAACAUGUUCUUUCACUAAGGCCCUAAAAUAUUCUUGUAUUAUUACCAUUAUUGUAACAAACAAACAAACAAACAAACAAACAAAAAGUAAUUUAAUUUUUUUUAGCACUUGUAUGAUAAUAAUCCACAUUUCUACAUCCUCUUGUUCCAGUUCAGAAGGUUGUGAGUUCUUAAGCCUUACUGUGCAGCCAGAUCCAUAAUUAUUGGCACCCUAGUCCUUGUUAAAGACAGGUUAAAUGGAAACAGGGUUUAUGGAAAAAUGUAUUUGUGGUUAAUUAGCUUGAUCGUAUAUUACAGAGAUAUACUUUGUAUAUGUACUUUGUACUCUAACAUAUAUUCUAAGAAAAUUAAAACCUUUAUCUCUAUCUGCAGUACUGUGCAAAAGUCUUAUUUUUUUUAGUACAAACUUUGUUAUAGAUGUUUAUUUUCUGACUUCUACAUUAUUGAUUCAGUACAAAAACAUUUUAGAUUCCAAACAUUAGUUUUCCAGCACAAAAUGAAAUCUUACAGAAAAAUGUUUGUAUGUCAGUAAAGAAAGCAGCAGAUUCCAUAAGAGACACUUUUCAGAUAAAAACAUAAUGAAGGCUGCUGGGUUUCGCUGCAGAAAUAAGAAGCGAGUCGACAGUCAAAGUCUCCAGAAGAACUGUGGCUGCUUCUGCAAGAUGCUCAGUAACACUUCCAGCUCAUUACAGAUCACAUUAUGUUUAUUCACUUAAAUUCAGUUUUAUUUGUAUAGAGCUUU
Long non-coding RNA from Pangasianodon hypophthalmus (striped catfish), 2742 nucleotides. RefSeq lists it as uncharacterized. The record is from RefSeq and is a predicted model, not a curated record. The transcript has 4 exons. Lineage: Eukaryota; Metazoa; Chordata; Actinopteri; Siluriformes; Pangasiidae.